Molecule: long non-coding RNA, 3352 nt
Filed under: Homo sapiens (human)
Lineage: Eukaryota; Metazoa; Chordata; Mammalia; Primates; Hominidae
Description: HSALNT0343783
Source: RNAcentral
UGAAACUGUAUCAUUUUAAUAUUUUAAUAAUCAAAAUAUGAUUCUCUUCCCAACUCAACCGUCUGUACCCAGAUAACAAUCCCCUUUUCCCUUUCACUUUCUACAUAUCUAAAAGAGAAGGUAAAGAGGGAAAUUCUGAAUGGAAAACUUUAGAGGCCACUGGCUGGGUAAGUAGGGCAGAGACCAAGUGAGGGCUGAGAAGAAAGGGAGCAGAGAGUGGACAGCAGGAGAGGGUAGAUGAAGUCAUUGGACAGAGAAUCUGAGCUGCAAAUGGAAGGCAAGGAGGAGAAUCUCAGAAGCUUCCUCCUUGGUCUUCACCAGGUUGGGAAUGGGUUGCCGAAGGGGAGAGGGCAUAUUUUUAGCAUGCAAGUUCCCCAACCCUGCAGUCAAGUUCAGGGAGAGGGCUGGAGAGCUCAGUUCCAUGGCUUGCAGAGGGAAGCUGCAGGGAGUUGCUACUGAGCCCAACUGAGAUUUAGCACAUUGAUUUUUGCCUUUAUUUUUUUCUAGGUGCUGCGGUUUGUGAUUGAGUGGGGAGGUUGGGGAGGACAGCCAAGGCUUUUAAAGGUGCCAAUACUCUAGCAAGAAAUAAGGAAGAGUGGCUGCUAAAAGAGCUGAGAUUUUCCAUUCUACCCUCCUGUGCCUCAUUUUUCUUUUCCUCUUUCCACUUUCUUGGCUGAGCCUGCUUGUCAGUGAGAUGAUCAACAGCUGUGGGAAGCACAGAGUAGUAGGAAGAGGGCUCCGAGCAGGAGUCGGGACAUUUGUCCUGAGUGGGGCUGAUGGCAUAAACCUGACCUUGGCCGCCCAGCUCCUUGGCCCAGGUCCACCUUCCUUCAUUCACUGUUUCACUCUCGUAUCCACCGAAUACCUAUGCAGCGUCUACUAUGGAGUGUCUACUGAAGUCAAGCACUAGGCAUCCCAUUGUGACAAAAUAGACAUGGUCCUGACCUCAAGGGGCUUACACUCUGGGAAGAUAGGUAACAUUGAAUAAAUGGCAAGAAACCAAUAUGUGAUUACAGAUCAUUGAUAAGUGCUGCAAAGGAAAACAAGAGGACUCUAUGAAGGAGAAUUACCAGUCUCUACCUCUAUGUCCAUCAUUCAAUAAAUAUUUAGUCAAUCCUAAUGUGUGCCAGGCAGCAUUCUUGCUGGGAACACAGCAUUAAACAAAACAGAACAAAACAGACUAAGUUCCUCUUCUCAUGAAGCAGGGGCACAGAUCAUGGAAACCACUAUCAGAACUUGGGAUUUCAUUUAUGUCCAAUGUGAGUCAGGCAUCUCUCCUGGUGGCUGUCUUCCAUGUGGUGACUUAUGUAUCCAGGAUCCUUCUACUGUGUUUCUCCUCCAUUGCGAAGUCCUUCACUUCCAGCACCUGAGACAUUUUUUGGGUAUAUCUACAAGUGGCAUAUAUCACUUCUGCCCACAUUCACCUGGGUAGAACUCAAUCACAUUGUUUCACCUAACUGCAAGUGAGGCUGUGGAAUAUAGUCUCCCUAUGUGCCCAAGCAGAAGAAACAGGAUUGUGUGACUCUACAAUGUGUGAUUGCUCCUGGUGAAUCAAAAGGAUAAAGCUGCUGAUUCUGCAAUUUGAUAACCCAACCAUGCUGACCUCAAAGUGUAGUCAAUCCAUGAAGUUCCUCCCACCACAGCUCAUCCUGAACACUGCCCACCUGAGUCAUCAAGAAAGAUUUCACCUGAUUCUUGGCCACAAAGUUUCAAGGGAACCAGAGCUAAUGAAGACAGCAUGGAAGGGCACCGCCGAGACCUACCUGUGGGAGUCCACCUCACCCUCAAGAACAGCUACCAUUUUAACACAGAUGGAUAAACCCCAUGAAAGUGAACUUCCUAAAUGCAAAUUCUGAUCUUGAAGCCCCAGCUGGCACAUCUACUGGAGACCCUCCCAAGCAACAAGAUGUAGAUGCUUUAGAGAUAACAAACUAUACAAGUUGUCUUCCAUUCUUUCUCCUUCCUCUAUUUUCAACACGGAUAAAAUACAUAUAUAUUUAUCUUGCUGAGCUCAGUAGGAUUAUUUAGCUUUAUUUCCAUGGCUGCCUUUUCUUAAUGUAAUAGAAUUUCCAAUCGAGCUUAUUACUUCCUUCCGUCACAAGCCUGAGGUCCUUUCACACCCAUCCUGUCCUUGGCAAAGAUCUUUGGAAAGUAGCCUGGGACAUACCUAGUGGUAAGCCACCUGCUCUGGGUUGAGGGUGGAUCUAUUCUAGUCAGAGGCUUUGUGAUCUGGACAAAGGAAUUGAGUAUGUGGCUGUCAAACUGUCAGGCAAUACUAAAUUUGGCUGGCCAGCUGAAUUCUAGCAGAAAAUCAUGCAAAAUAAGGUUUAGCAAUUGGGGAAAAAUGGCCCACAGGAAAAACAAAGGGAUGAAAUUCCGUAGGACUACACGGCCAUAGAAUUCUAACUUGAGGGCUGCAACCAGCUAUGUGACCUUGUAGUACAAGGACCAGUCUUCAGAUACAAAAUAGAGUUUGGAGUUAAAGGGAUCUUUGAGAAGAAGCCAUUAUCCACCCCCUCCUCCCAAUUUUAUAUGCCCUAAGAAAAAGGUUUCUUUCAACUUAGAAAGGUAUGAUUCUUGAAGUGCACUUCCUCCGAGUUUUCCUGAGCCUCUCAAUCAAAAUGACUUGCACCUGCCCAUCCAUUCCCAUUGGCUUAUGCUCCUACCCUGCAGUAUUGGCUUCAUUAUGCCUCACCUUGUACACCUGUCUGAUUCCUCUCCUAGAUUAUCAGCACCUUGACAAUGGGCUCGUAUCUUGUGUAUCCCUGAAUUUCCAGGGACAAUGAUAGUGCCUGCCACAUAAUUGAUGGUCAAUAAAUUUUGGUUAAAUAGUAACAAGAAACUCCCAUUUAAAAAAUGUGUUAUCGUUAUCAUUCUCAAUCUGGAUGCUCUCCUCUAUACACAGUUUUAUUCAGUAACUCUCUUAAAAUUGUAAAGGUGAGAAAUUGAACACAGUUUCCCAGGUCUUUGAGCAGCACGAGAUACAGGGAGAAAAAAAAUGCUUUGUGCUUGAAUACUUUACUUCUGAUUGGAGAAAAUAAACACUGCACUGGAUUAUUUUUAAAGAUACAUCACAUUACGUUUGUGAUCAACUGAAAUGCUAAGAUAUUUGCAUGUGGAUUUCUGCCAAGCUGCUUUUCUCCCAUUCUUCAUGUGUGUGAUUGAUCUUGAAAUCAAAUGGUGGGACUUUAUAUAUUUUUUUGUUUUAACUCAAGGUAAAGUCUGACAAAAAUCACGUUAAAUUUGAUGCUGUCAGUGAAGACAUUAGCAAUCCUUCCUGGCUUAAGGUCACUGGCAAAUUUGAUAUACUUAUCUUUUGUGGGGUUUUUUUGUUGGUUUUUUUAAGACAGGG